RNAcentral lists this unclassified non-coding RNA (1706 nucleotides) under Leptinotarsa decemlineata (Colorado potato beetle). Its description in RNAcentral is "myrosinase 1-like, transcript variant X1". The record is from RNAcentral. Lineage: Eukaryota; Metazoa; Arthropoda; Insecta; Coleoptera; Chrysomelidae.
AAAGAAUUUCUAUUCAAAACAAAUAACGAUAAACGAAAUGAUCCUUAUAAUCGGCCGGAAAUUAUAUUCUGUUUCGUUUCUUUUCAUACUGAUAAUCUUGGGUGCAGUCAGUGCUUCAAAGGAUCAUCACUUUCCAGAAGGCUUUUUAUUUGGAACAGCGUCGAGUGCUUAUCAAAUAGAAGGAGGUUAUAAUGUUGAAGGAAAAGGACCGAAUAUUUACGACUACUACACAAAGAAGUCUCCAAAUAGAUUUUACAAUUCCAGUGAUGGAAACAUAGCAUGUGAUUCGUUUCACAAAUGGCGGGAGGAUGUUAAAUUACUGAAAGAAUUAGGUGUUGACUUUUACAGUUUUUCAAUUUCAUGGAGCAGAGUUUUACCUAAUGGAUAUUCCAAUGAUAUGAAUAUGAAUGGUUUGAGAUAUUAUAAUGACCUCAUCAAUAAACUGAUCAAAAAUGGAAUCCAACCAGUGGUCACCAUGUAUCAAUUCGAUUUACCAAUGGCUCUUCAAGAACUAGGGGGUUGGACAAAUCCCUACAUAGCUUACCAUUUUGAAGACUACGCCAAUAUUUUAUUCAGUUACUUUGGGGAUAGAGUGAAAUAUUGGAUAACUUUAAACGCAGACUGUCGAGGAUAUGGAGACGACCUUUUUCCCCCUUUCAUAAACUAUCCAGCUAUCGCAAACUAUUUGUGCCAACACGUGAUGCUCUUGGCACAUGCCAAAGUAUACCAUUUGUACGAUAACAAGUUCAGAAUGUUACAGAAAGGAAAUGUUGGAAUAACGAUCAAUGCCUCAUGGUACGAGUCAUAUAGUUCAUCCCCAGCAGAUUUGCAAGCCGCUGAAGUAGGACGGGAGUUUCAGUUGGGAAGUAUCAUGAACCCAAUCUUCCACACAGAUGGUGAUUAUCCAAAAAUUUACAAAGAACGAGUGGACAAGAUUAGUCGACUCGAAGGAUACCUCCAAUCAAGGCUUCCAGUUCUGUCAUCCCCUGAAGUUGAUUAUAUUCAGGGUACUUUCGAUUUUGUUGGUUUGAAUGUGUUCAAAAGCUGCUUCGUCGAGAAUGCUACCACCAAUUUCUCUACAAGAAAUUCUUCAGUUGAAAAGGAUAUGAAUAUUGUGGUUCAUAGCAAUGAACUGGGAAAUGAAGCAAAUUCUGACGAAAUGAUGAUUACACCAAAAGGUGUGAGGAACCUGCUGAACUGGGUCAAAGACAAAUAUGAUGACCCUGAAAUUUUCAUUACAGGAAACGGUUUUCCUGACGAGGAACAGAAAAACGAUACGGAGAGAAUAGAAUAUCUGCAGAAACAUCUGCACGCGAUAUCAGAAGCAAUCAUGGAAGAUAGGGUUAAUGUCAAAGGAUACGCGGUAUGGAGCAUUAUGGAUAGUUUUGAAUGGACAAAUGGAUACAGAGAUAAAUUCGGAUUGUAUCACGUUGAUUUCUCCGAUCCAAACAGAAAGAGGACGGCCAAAAUGUCAGCGAAAUGGUUCAAAAAAGUGAUCGAAGAGAGAAGAAUCGUUGGCAAGAAGGAAGUGAUGAGUUGAUUUCAAUGAAAUUUUAUGAAAUAAAUUGGGCAGUUUUUGAAUUAGUGAAUGAGUAUACCAAAAUUAUUUAUCUUGUAUAUAAAAUUCUCAUUUCUGCAAUUUAUUGAUCUCAGUGAAGAUAUACACAUUUUGAAUUGGAAAUUUUGAAAUUAAAGCAUUUCAACAA